RNAcentral lists this long non-coding RNA (979 nucleotides) under Mytilus galloprovincialis (Mediterranean mussel). The record is from RNAcentral. Lineage: Eukaryota; Metazoa; Mollusca; Bivalvia; Mytilida; Mytilidae.
GUCUGAUUGCAAGCUAAUAAAUAAAAUGAAAUAGCAUUGAUGAGUUUAAUAUUUACAUAUAACCUUUAAAAUAUAACCUUUUUAACAAUAUUCUGUACACUUUUAUGCAUAAUUUUUUUGCACUUGUUAUCGUUUCAUGGUUGUUGAAUUGAUUGUAAUAAACUUAACUAAUAAGCUUUACUUUUCAGUUUAACCCUCAAAUUGUAUCCAAUCCCAACUUAUAUAUUUUUUAAGGGGCCAGCUGAAGGACGCCUUCAGGUGCGAGAAUUUCUCAUUGCAAUGAAGACCUGUUGGUGACCUUCUGCUGUUGUCUGCUCUAUGGUCAGGCUGUUGUGUCUUUGGCACAUUCUCAAUUUUAUUGUAUCAUUGUAAUUUGACCUCAAAAGAAUCGCCAGAAGUAAAGUGAAAUUUGCAUAGGGUUCCGUUUUAUGUAAUACAAAUAGUUUAAACAAAACCAUAUUUUUUACAAAUCCAUUUAUCUUGAAAUACAUGUAUUUUGAAACUAAGAAUUGAUAUGAUAUGGCCUGAUUAGUUCUAAUUAACUCACUUGGUGAGAUUCUUGUUAAGGAAAACAUAGAUGUUACACAUUAAACAAUAAGUGUGAUCAGAUCAAUAAAACAUAUUCAUAAUGACAUAUAAUACUAUAAAGGUAAAUAACAAAUGUUCUUCAGAAAGCAAUCUUAUUAGGGUUUUUUAUAUUUUGUUCAGAAAGCAAAGUUACUGUAACUAUAUCAAUUAUUGUGAGGUACUCCUGGGGUAUUGUGAGGUACUCCUGGGGUAUUGCAAUGAUAAAGAGCAUGCAUUUUGUAAUCUGGUACAUAUUUCUGUAUGCAGUGUUCCAAAAAAUUGCAAUAAUUAAACUUGCAUUUUUGUAAAUUUUUCAUCAAUCUCAUUAAUUUCUGAAUUUAGUUACUUUGAAAAGUACGCUUAAUUUAUACUUUUCCAAUGAUCAUAAGAGAGGAUGUAUCAUAUAAAAUGC